GAUGAACGCUGGCGGCGUGCCUAAUACAUGCAAGUCGAGCGAACGGACGAGAAGCUUGCUUCUCUGAUGUUAGCGGCGGACGGGUGAGUAACACGUGGAUAACCUACCUAUAAGACUGGGACAACUUCGGGAAACCGGAGCUAAUACCGGAUGAUAUUUUGAACCGCAUGGUUCAAAAGUGAAAGACGGUCUUGCUGUCACUUAUAGCUGGAUCCGCGCUGCAUUAGCUAGUUGGUAAGGUAACGGCUUACCAAGGCAACGAUGCAUAGCCGACCUGAGAGGGUGAUAGCCCACACGGGAGCUGGGACACGGUCCAGACUCCUACGGGAGGCAGCAGUAGGGAACCGUACGCAGUGGGCGAAAGCCUGACGGAGCAACGGCGAGUGAGUGAUGAAGGUCUUCGGAUCGGAAAACUCUGUUAUUAGGGAAGAACAUAUGUGUAAGUAACUGUGCACAUCUUGACGGUACCUAGUCAGAAAGCCACGGCUAACUACGUG
RNAcentral lists this ribosomal RNA (497 nucleotides) under uncultured bacterium. RNAcentral's name for it is "partial 16S ribosomal RNA". It matches the Rfam family "Bacterial small subunit ribosomal RNA", at positions 28 to 507 of the family's 1533-position model. The record is from RNAcentral.